Long non-coding RNA from Octopus sinensis (East Asian common octopus), 843 nucleotides. RefSeq lists it as uncharacterized. NCBI's taxonomy places the organism in Eukaryota, Metazoa, Mollusca, Cephalopoda, Octopoda, Octopodidae. The record is from RefSeq and is a predicted model, not a curated record. The transcript has 3 exons.
GCAUGUGCAGUCAUUUUGUUUCCCAAACUUCUCAAGUUGAGAAGCGUCAUUAGAACGUGUCCACCUGUUCUAAAUUUCUUAAUUAACUGGUUAUUGAUUGCAUAUAUAAUAUGUAAACGGAGUCCUUAAAUAAUUGUGAAUAACCAUUGUCUGCAGUAUGGUAAGGAAUCCCUCAAAGGAGGAAUCUCCAUUGGCAUGUGAGCAAAUGUCUGUGGCAAAUUCUUCACAAAAGACUAUGUUAUUAAAAUGUGUUUGUCAGUGCUUAGUAAAUUCUACCAUCCUCUCCAUCACCCUCACAUUCUACAGCAAAGUAUUUGUAAAGGUUUUCAGACUGGUGAGGAAAAUUGAAAAUCGCUGCCCCCUUAGAGUUAUGUCAAAAACAAAGAGCAGUGAUUGAAUUUCUUGUUGCUGUGAACAUUUACUGAUGAUUACAAAAUGGUUUUGAGGACAAUACUUUAGAUUAUAGCAAUGUAUGCAGGCGGGUCCGUUGUCUGAAAGAUGGAAAUUCUUGUUGCUGAGGGGGAGACCCCUAUGAACAUUUACUGACGAUUACAAAAUGGUUUUGAGGACAAUACUUUAGAUUAUAGCAAUGUAUGCAGGCGGGUCCAUCGUCUGAAAGAUGGAAAUUCUUGUUGCUGAGGGGGAGACCCCUAUGAACAUUUACUGAUGAUUACAAAAUGGUUUUGAGGACAAUACUUUAGAUUAUAGCAAUGUAUGCAGGCGGGUCCAUCGUCUGAAAGAUGGAAAUUCUUGUUGCUGAGGGGGAGACCCCUAUGAACAUUUACUGACGAUUACAAAAUGGUUUUGAGGACAAUACUUUAGAUUAUAGCAAUGUAUGCAGGC